AACUGUUCCAAUUUUGUCUCUUGAAGAAGUAAAUGAGUUAUAUUGAGUUCUAUUCUAUUAGAAUAGAAAUAUGUUAGAAUAGAAAUAUUUUAAAUAUCCCUCAAAAAAUUUGAGACUUAAACUAAAUUUAAAAAAUAUUUUUUUAGCAUUUUAAUUUUUUUGAAAUAUAUUCAUAGAGUUAUAUUUUGUUAGUGGGCCGUUAAGAACCGCCGUUAUUUCUGUAAAAUUAUUAUUUUGCCUAUCAAAUAUAUCAUUUUACCGUCACCAACUUGUCUUAUUUAUCCUUAAAUUAGGAGUAAAAGAAAUAUUUUAAUUUUUUGUCCUUUCAAAUAUACCUUCUAUUAUUACCAAAUUUUCUUAUUUGUUCUUAAGUUAGGGACAAAAAAGAUAUUUUGACUUUCUUUUAAUUCCGAUAGAAAUUUAUCCCCAGUUUAAUCAGAGAUGACUUAACGGGCAUUAAUAAUGAGAUUAUUUUCGACUAACGGAGAAAUAUACGAGGAUUAUAAUUGAAACAGAAAAAGUAGAAAUAUAUAUAUGAUAUUUCAGAAGUUUUGAGGGUUAUAUAAGAUAUUAUUCCUUAAUAUAAUUAGCAUAUGCAUAUAAAUACA
RNAcentral lists this long non-coding RNA (608 nucleotides) under Ananas comosus (pineapple). Its description in RNAcentral is "long non-coding RNA (ACOM_LNC036836)". Lineage: Eukaryota; Viridiplantae; Streptophyta; Magnoliopsida; Poales; Bromeliaceae. The record is from RNAcentral.